CUGUUUUUAUAUACUGUUAAUAAAAAGAUUUUGGUCAUUUUUUACAUUUCUUUAGAGCCCCCACCCACCGCUCAGGGGUGGGGGCCAGGGGGGAGGACAUUAGGUCCCCCCCUUUUAGUAUUAGGGCCCCCACACACUGCUCAGGGGUGUGGGCCAGGGGGGAGGACAUUAGGUUCCCCCCCUUAUUUUACUGUAGGGCCCCCACCUGCCGUUCAGGGGUGGGGGCCAGGGGGGUUAGAAGCCCCCACUCGUGCAGCGCGCGCAGCAUUGCUCAUGCCCCUACUGGCGGUAUAGCGAGUAGGGGCAUAAUUUACUAAUACUAAGUAAUCUUUACUUAGUAUUAGUAAAUUUGGCUGAAAGACCAAUUUAGGUCAUUCAGCCUAUUAGUAGAUAGCUCCCUAAUACCAUGGGAAUUAGGGAGUUAUCUACUUAUUCAUUCCUGUAAUUACACUGACUGGCUAAGUAACUUACAUUUUAAAUGAAUGUAUGUUACUUGAUAGUUGUAAGUGUUGCAAAUGCUUACAGCUGAAUCCUGGCUAUGUUUGUAUACUUUUUAUUAAAAUUGUAUACAGUGUAACAUUCUUCAUUCUUCCACUGGGUUAGUAUAAUAGUUCUUAGGCAAUACUGUGCUUCGGAACUUCGACACUUUGGAAAUUCGGAACUUCGACCAUUCAGCAAUUCAUCUAUUCGGACAUUCAGAAGUACCCGAAUGUCCGAAUUGCCCAAAAUUCGUCCAAAUUCACAUGCGGACCGAAACGAAUUGCGCAUGUCUACUAAUGAUCAUUAACAUAUCAAAGAAAUUAACUCAUCAACUAAGAGGUACAGACCAUAUGGUUAAAGUCAGUUAGUUUACAUUGGAACUAGACAUCCAGGCAUCUCAAGUGUAGAGUUUCACACCUGGCAGAGCCUUUGAUUAAUCAAAAGAUCAAUCCAUAUUAUAAACCAUCUAAACCCCUUUCACAUUCCUAUACUGGUGACAGUGACUGAGGGAGGGGGUGACAGAGUGACCAGGGGAGGGCUGGCAGCCUCAGACCUGGGGGAAAAUCCAGUCAAGUGGCCCAUUGCACCCCCGAACCAGCUCACCAUCCAUGCCCACCUUGGUGGAAUGAUGAAGAAGGUGCAGCUGUCAGAGAUGAAGCAGAAUACAAAUCCUCAGUCUAUGAAUUAAUAGAAUGCACAAAGUGUGUACAAUUUACCUUUAUGAUGCAAUAUGUAUAUGUAAAAAAUAAAAUGUAAUGCAAACUUUGUCAGAAAUUGGUUAUGAAACAGCGUAGUGAAAAGACUCAAAAUGCCCCAUACAAAAUAGUGUAAGUUGUCCACUUUUGCAAAUGUUAUCCCAAGAGUGGGUAGUGUGCAGUGGAGUGGGAUGUUAUAUAGUUCAAUAUAAACCAACUAAUGAAAACUGAACAUUUGAAAACUGAAACAGGCAUGUCUGUAAUUUAAAUGGAUACUCUAAGUGUCAAAACACUUUAGCUUAAAGGAACACUAAACAAUAAAGAAUUGUAUUGAAGGGGUCUGAGUGCAGUGGUUCUUUCACAUAAGCCUGCAAUGUAAAACAUUGCAGCUUUUACUUUUUAAUUAUUUUAAAGAAAUUGCAAUAUUUAUAUUGCAGGGUAAAAUCCACCUCUAUUAGUUAUCUACUGGACAGGCACUACAGGGACUUCCUCCUCCAGAUCAUGUAAAACUAUGUCUCAAAAUUAAAUGGUGCUGAAAACAGCAUUUGAUUGGAGGAGUGGAGAAUGUGGCUGUGCAUGCCUAGUCCAAACCAUUGCUGCUCUAUGAAAAGCAAAAGAUUGGAGGAUAAUGCCCGUGAUGUCAACAUGAAUGCGGACACCACCAGAGACGUAGGCUGCAGCACAGGUAUCCCAGUGUUGGAAAGGAGGCGAGUAAUCUCUUUCACAUUUCUACUUUAAGCUGCAAACGGUGGUGGACAGAGAGCAACCUAUAUUCCCAAACUAAUUUUUUUGUUGUUUUUU
RNAcentral lists this long non-coding RNA (1976 nucleotides) under Pelobates cultripes (western spadefoot toad). The record is from RNAcentral. Lineage: Eukaryota; Metazoa; Chordata; Amphibia; Anura; Pelobatidae.